Molecule: long non-coding RNA, 186 nt
Organism: Haliotis rufescens (red abalone)
Lineage: Eukaryota; Metazoa; Mollusca; Gastropoda; Lepetellida; Haliotidae
Exons: 3
Source: RefSeq, a predicted model, not a curated record
GCUCAUCUCAUCAGUGUCAGUGGAGGUCGUACCGUGGAAAAUACACGUCACUCCCAAAUUGACAGCAGACAUGAAGGUUGUGUGGUUUCUCCUUCUGCUUCUGAUCUCCCCCAUCAAGACCCAGGGGGAUGACACCAUGUUGCAAAAUACAACCGGCACUGGGAAUGAUUCAUCGACUGAAAUCCC